Long non-coding RNA from Bubalus bubalis (water buffalo), 550 nucleotides. RefSeq lists it as uncharacterized. The transcript is spliced from 3 exons. The record is from RefSeq and is a predicted model, not a curated record. Lineage: Eukaryota; Metazoa; Chordata; Mammalia; Artiodactyla; Bovidae.
UCGUGAAGUGCCACUGCGGCGGGAGAAAGCAGAGGUGCCGGGAUGUGGCGGCGCCCUGAUGCGCAUCCUGUUCUCAACUUCUGGGAACUUACCCCACCCCCUGCCAAUUUACCCCAUUGGCUCUUAAUGUUAGAGAUUAUCUAGUCCUUAAAGUUACUGGUUGACAGACUAUGUUGUAAUAAGCUUGGGGAAAGCAAAGAUAUAUUGUUUUUCUGCAUUCUCUCAGUCUUGUGUCCCCCUCAGUCUUGUGCCUAGCACAUGAUUCCACAUGUAACUGCUGGAUUUCUUACACUGUUUACAAUACAGCCAGGUUGCAGUUUUCUUGAUGGUCCUGUGUUCUUUCCAUUACUCCAUAUGAAUCUAAUGAGUGCUACAUUAAAAGUUUUAGGCCUGAAUUAUACUUUUCCACACAGUUUUAAUUCCAUAGCAUCUAAUUUUGUUCCCUGGUGUGUAAAAUGUAGUCAUUAUCUAUCAUUAAAUGAGAUAUAUGUGAAAGUAUUUUAUAAAUUGUAAGGCACUGGACAAAUAAACAUUUGAAGUCUAGUUUGGA